AGCUUGCGGCUUAAUUUGACUCAACGCGGGGCAACUCACCCGGUCCGGACAUCGCAGGGAUUGACAGAUUGAUAGCUCUUUCUAGAUUCGGUGGGUGGUGGUGCAUGGCCGUUCUUAGUACGUGGUGCAAACUGUCAGGUUAAAUCCGCUAACGUACGCGACUCUAGCCUAUUUACUAGAGCUGGACGAUGAUAAUAAGUCGCCGAAGCGAGGAACUUCUUAGAGGGAUCCAUUGCGUGGGAGAAGCGGAUGAAAAAGAGCAAUAACAGGUCUGUGAUGCCCUUAGAUGUUCGGGGCCGCACGCGCGCUACACUGAGAAGGUUAGCGGGGGUCCGAGUGCAUGCCGGGCGCGUGAGCGACCUCGCGAAAUCUCCGAACCCUUAGCGUGCUCGGGAUUAGGGUCUGGAACUGUUGCCUAUGAACGAGGAAUUCCAAGUAAUCGCGGGUGACUAGCCUGCGCUGAUCAAGUCCCUGCCCUUUGUACACACCGCCCGUCGCUACCACUGAGCUAGCGGCUUAGCAAGGCCGUCGAGACGGCGCCCCGGGGGUACGGGUGUCGGGUGGGUGAGCCGCCAGCCCUGCUGGCCGGCUCCUGCCGCGGACAUGGCCGGCCUCACGUAGAUGGGCGUGGAAGGCGUUCAAGCUCGGCUGCUUCUAGGAGGUAAAAGUCGUAACAAGGUUGCCGUAGGUG
RNAcentral lists this ribosomal RNA (691 nucleotides) under Trypanosyllis sp. MTA-2015. Its description in RNAcentral is "bacterial SSU rRNA". It matches the Rfam family "Eukaryotic small subunit ribosomal RNA", at positions 1180 to 1811 of the family's 1831-position model. The record is from RNAcentral. Lineage: Eukaryota; Metazoa; Annelida; Polychaeta; Phyllodocida; Syllidae.